This 1326-nucleotide ribosomal RNA is filed under the name Frigoribacterium sp. RNAcentral's name for it is "bacterial SSU rRNA". It matches the Rfam family "Bacterial small subunit ribosomal RNA", at positions 93 to 1433 of the family's 1533-position model. Lineage: Bacteria; Bacillati; Actinomycetota; Actinomycetes; Micrococcales; Microbacteriaceae. The record is from RNAcentral.
UAGUGGCGAACGGGUGAGUAACACGUGAGUAACCUGCCCUUGACUCUGGGAUAAGCGCUGGAAACGGCGUCUAAUACCGGAUACGAGCUUCAGCCGCAUGGCUAGGAGUUGGAAAGAAUUUUGGUCAAGGAUGGACUCGCGGCCUAUCAGCUAGUUGGUGAGGUAAUGGCUCACCAAGGCGACGACGGGUAGCCGGCCUGAGAGGGUGACCGGCCACACUGGGACUGAGACACGGCCCAGACUCCUACGGGAGGCAGCAGUGGGGAAUAUUGCACAAUGGGCGAAAGCCUGAUGCAGCAACGCCGCGUGAGGGACGACGGCCUUCGGGUUGUAAACCUCUUUUAGUAGGGAAGAAGCGAAAGUGACGGUACCUGCAGAAAAAGCACCGGCUAACUACGUGCCAGCAGCCGCGGUAAUACGUAGGGUGCAAGCGUUGUCCGGAAUUAUUGGGCGUAAAGAGCUCGUAGGCGGUUUGUCGCGUCUGCUGUGAAAUCUGGGGGCUCAACCCCCAGCCUGCAGUGGGUACGGGCAGACUAGAGUGCGGUAGGGGAGAUUGGAAUUCCUGGUGUAGCGGUGGAAUGCGCAGAUAUCAGGAGGAACACCGAUGGCGAAGGCAGAUCUCUGGGCCGUAACUGACGCUGAGGAGCGAAAGCAUGGGGAGCGAACAGGAUUAGAUACCCUGGUAGUCCAUGCCGUAAACGUUGGGAACUAGAUGUGGGGACCAUUCCACGGUCUCCGUGUCGCAGCUAACGCAUUAAGUUCCCCGCCUGGGGAGUACGGCCGCAAGGCUAAAACUCAAAGGAAUUGACGGGGGCCCGCACAAGCGGCGGAGCAUGCGGAUUAAUUCGAUGCAACGCGAAGAACCUUACCAAGGCUUGACAUAUACCGGAAACGGCCAGAGAUGGUCGCCCCGCAAGGUCGGUAUACAGGUGGUGCAUGGUUGUCGUCAGCUCGUGUCGUGAGAUGUUGGGUUAAGUCCCGCAACGAGCGCAACCCUCGUUCUAUGUUGCCAGCACGUUAUGGUGGGAACUCAUAGGAGACUGCCGGGGUCAACUCGGAGGAAGGUGGGGAUGACGUCAAAUCAUCAUGCCCCUUAUGUCUUGGGCUUCACGCAUGCUACAAUGGCCGGUACAAAGGGCUGCGAUACCGUAAGGUGGAGCGAAUCCCAAAAAGCCGGUCUCAGUUCGGAUUGAGGUCUGCAACUCGACCUCAUGAAGUCGGAGUCGCUAGUAAUCGCAGAUCAGCAACGCUGCGGUGAAUACGUUCCCGGGCCUUGUACACACCGCCCGUCAAGUCAUGAAAGUCGGUAACACCCGAAGCCAGUGG